Molecule: non-coding RNA, 19 nt
Filed under: Arabidopsis thaliana (thale cress)
Lineage: Eukaryota; Viridiplantae; Streptophyta; Magnoliopsida; Brassicales; Brassicaceae
Also listed under: 1 other name
Source: RNAcentral
GUCCCUGCCCUUUGUACAC